UGAUGAACGCUGGCGGCGUGCCUAAUACAUGCAAGUCGAACGAGUUCUCGUUGAUGAUCGGUGCUUGCACCGAGAUUCAACAUAGAACGAGUGGCGGACGGGUGAGUAACACGUGGGUAACCUGCCCUUAAGUGGGGGAUAACAUUUGGAAACAGAUGCUAAUACCGCAUAGAUCCAAGAACCGCAUGGUUCUUGGCUGAAAGAUGGCGUAAGCUAUCGCUUUUGGAUGGACCCGCGGCGUAUUAGCUAGUUGGUGAGGUAAUGGCUCACCAAGGCGAUGAUACGUAGCCGAACUGAGAGGUUGAUCGGCCACAUUGGGACUGAGACACGGCCCAAACUCCUACGGGAGGCAGCAGUAGGGAAUCUUCCACAAUGGACGCAAGUCUGAUGGAGCAACGCCGCGUGAGUGAAGAAGGCUUUCGGGUCGUAAAACUCUGUUGUUGGAGAAGAAUGGUCGGCAGAGUAACUGUUGUCGGCGUGACGGUAUCCAACCAGAAAGCCACGGCUAACUACGUGCCAGCAGCCGCGGUAAUACGUAGGUGGCAAGCGUUAUCCGGAUUUAUUGGGCGUAAAGCGAGCGCAGGCGGUUUUUUAAGUCUGAUGUGAAAGCCCUCGGCUUAACCGAGGAAGCGCAUCGGAAACUGAGAAACUUGAGUGUAGAAGAGGACAGUGGAACUCCAUGUGUAGCGGUGAAAUGCGUAGAUAUAUGGAAGAACACCAGUGGCGAAGGCGGCUGUCUGGUCUGUAACUGACGCUGAGGCUCGAAAGCAUGGGUAGCGAACAGGAUUAGAUACCCUGGUAGUCCAUGCCGUAAACGAUGAAUGCUAGGUGUUGGAGGGUUUCCGCCCUUCAGUGCCGCAGCUAACGCAUUAAGCAUUCCGCCUGGGGAGUACGACCGCAAGGUUGAAACUCAAAGGAAUUGACGGGGGCCCGCACAAGCGGUGGAGCAUGUGGUUUAAUUCGAAGCAACGCGAAGAGCCUUACCAGGUCUUGACAUCUUUUGAUCACCUGAGAGAUCAGGUUUCCCCUUCGGGGGCAAAAUGACAGGUGGUGCAUGGUUGUCGUCAGCUCGUGUCGUGAGAUGUUGGGUUAAGUCCCGCAACGAGCGCAACCCUUAUGACUAGUUGCCAGCAUUUAGUUGGGCACUCUAGUAAGACUGCCGGUGACAAACCGGAGGAAGGUGGGGAUGACGUCAAAUCAUCAUGCCCCUUAUGACCUGGGCUACACACGUGCUACAAUGGAUGGUACAACGAGUUGCAAGACCGCGAGGUCAAGCUAAUCUCUUAAAGCCAUUCUCAGUUCGGACUGUAGGCUGCAACUCGCCUACACGAAGUCGGAAUCGCUAGUAAUCGCGGAUCAGCACGCCGCGGUGAAUACGUUCCCGGGCCUUGUACACACCGCCCGUCACACCAUGAGAGUUUGUAACACCCGAAGCCGGAGGCGUAACCCUUUUAGGGAGCGAGCCGUCUAAGG
RNAcentral lists this ribosomal RNA (1473 nucleotides) under uncultured organism. RNAcentral describes it as "SSU rRNA". It matches the Rfam family "Bacterial small subunit ribosomal RNA". The record is from RNAcentral.